AUUGAACGCUGGCGGCAGGCCUAACACAUGCAAGUCGAACGAGUGGCGGACGGGCGAGUAAUGUCUGGGAAACUGCCUGAUGGAGGGGUCGCACUACUGGAAACGGUAGCUAAUACCGCAUACCAUCAGAUGUGCCCAGAUGGGAUUAGCUAGUUGGUGGGGUAACGUUUCACAAAGGCGACGAUCCCUAGCUGGUCCGCGAGGGUGACAGGCAAACAGGGAACGGAGAAACGGUCCGGACUCUUCCGGGAGGCAGCAUAGGGGAAUAUGGCACAAUGGACGCAAGCAUAAUGCAGCCAUGCCGCGUGUAUGAAGAAGGCUUUCGGGUUUAAAAGUACUUUCAGCGGGGAGGCGUUACCCGAAGAAGAAGCGCCGGCUAACUCCGUGCCAGCAGCCGCGGUAAUAC
Molecule: ribosomal RNA, 406 nt
Filed under: uncultured bacterium
Lineage: Bacteria
Description: partial 16S ribosomal RNA
Rfam family: Bacterial small subunit ribosomal RNA
Source: RNAcentral